Molecule: long non-coding RNA, 568 nt
Filed under: Apteryx owenii (little spotted kiwi)
Lineage: Eukaryota; Metazoa; Chordata; Aves; Apterygiformes; Apterygidae
Description: lncRNA (ENSAOWG00000005780.1)
Source: RNAcentral
GUUGGGGCGAGCAGCGGCCGCUCCGGGGGCCACCUGCAGCGCUGGGGGCCGCCUCCCCGGGGCCCCUCCGACGACGGCUGGGGAGGGGGCGGGCAUUAAAUGCUCGCCCUUCCCCAGCCGUCGUCAGAGGGGCCUCAGCCGCCCGCCCUGCCUGCGGCGAUGCCGUGUCCCGCUGAGGCGGGAGAGGGGCCGCGGCGGCGCGUGAUGGGAGGUGUCCCCCGGGCGAGCAGCAGGGGAAAUGGCGGCCGCGCAAAUUUGAAAAGCCACCUCCUGCCCUAGUUGGAUCACUGCAAGUGAAUAAAAAGCUUCAGAGUGGACAAAGAAUCUUUACAGGACAACUGAAAGGUCCUGAGUCUUUUACUGUUGAUGAUGAAGGCCUCCAAUAUCAGCGUUGGUUUGCUGCAUGCUCAGUUAUCAGAAACUCCAGAUUAAGAACCAAUGUGUGGCCGGCCUCAUGGAGCCCGAAUGGAUCAGGAUGGCAACUUGAUUGUGGUAGAUUCUUAUUUUGGCCUGUAGAAAGUCAAUCCAAGGACAGGAGAGAAAACCAUCCUGCUAUCGAGUGAACAAG